AGUGAACGCUGGCGGUAGGCCUAACACAUGCAAGCCGAACGGCAGCACAGUAAGAGUUUGCUCUUACGGGUGGCGAGUGGCGGACGGGUGAGGAAUACAUCGGAAUCUACUUUUUCGUGGGGGAUAACGUAGGGAAACUUACGCUAAUACCGCAUACGACCUACGGGUGAAAGCAGGGGAUCUUCGGACCUUGCGCGAUUGAAUGAGCCGAUGUCGGAUUAGCUAGUUGGCGGGGUAAAGGCCCACCAAGGCGACGAUCCGUAGCUGGUCUGAGAGGAUGAUCAGCCACACUGGAACUGAGACACGGUCCAGACUCCUACGGGAGGCAGCAGUGGGGAAUAUUGGGCAAUGGGCGCAAGCCUGAUCCAGCCAUACCGCGUGGGUGAAGAAGGCCUUCGGGUUGUAAAGCCCUUUUGUUGGGAAAGAAAAGCAGCAGGUUAAUACCCCGCUGUUCUGACGGUACCCAAAGAAUAAGCACCGGCUAACUUCGUG
This 492-nucleotide ribosomal RNA is filed under the name uncultured bacterium. RNAcentral's name for it is "partial 16S ribosomal RNA". It matches the Rfam family "Bacterial small subunit ribosomal RNA", at positions 29 to 507 of the family's 1533-position model. The record is from RNAcentral.